Oncorhynchus tshawytscha (Chinook salmon) is the source of this 878-nucleotide long non-coding RNA. Lineage: Eukaryota; Metazoa; Chordata; Actinopteri; Salmoniformes; Salmonidae. The record is from Ensembl.
AGGUGAUGAGUCCAUGUGAUGAGUCCAUGUGAACAGUGUAAGAGGUGAUGAGUCCAGGUGAACAGUAAGAGGUGAUGAGUCCAGGUGAACAGUGUAAGAGGUGAUGAGUCCAGGUGAACAGUGUAAGAGGUGAUGAGUCCAUGUGAACAGUGUAAGAGGUGAUGAGUCCAGGUGAACAGUAAGAGGUGAUGAGUCCAGGUGAACAGUGUAAGAGGUGAUGAGUCCAUGUGAACAGUAAGAGGUGAUGAGUCCAUGUGAACAGUGUAAGAGGUGAUGAGUCCAUGUGAUGAGUCCAUGUGAACAGUGUAAGAUGUGAUGAGUCCAUGUGAACAGUGUAAGAGGUGAUGAGUCCAUGUGAUGAGUCCAUGUGAACAGUGUAAGAGGUGAUGAGUCCAUGUGAACAGUGUAAGAGGUGAUGAGUCCAUGUGAACAGUGUAAGAGGUGAUGAGUCCAGGUGAACAGUGUAAGAGGUGAUGAGUCCAUGUGAACAGUAAGAGGUGAUGAGUCCAUGUGAUGAGUCCAUGUGAACAGUAAGAGGUGAUGAGUCCAUGUGAACAGUGUAAGAGGUGAUGAGUCCAUGUGAUGAGUCCAUGUGAACAGUAAGAGGUGAUGAGUCCAUGUGAACAGUGUAAGAGGUGAUGAGUCCAUGUGAUGAGUCCAUGUGAACAGUAAGAGGUGAUGCGUCCAUGUGAUGAGUCCAUGUGAACAGUUAGAGGUGAUGAGUCCAUGUGAACAGUGUAAGAGGUGAUGAGUCCAUGUGAACAGUAAGAGGUGAUGAGUCCAUGUGAACAGUAAGAGGUGAUGAGUCCAUGUGAACAGUAAGAGGUGAUGAGUCCAUGUGAUGAGUCCAUGUGAACAGUAAGAGGUGAUGAGUCCAU